Molecule: long non-coding RNA, 4114 nt
Organism: Oncorhynchus gorbuscha (pink salmon)
Lineage: Eukaryota; Metazoa; Chordata; Actinopteri; Salmoniformes; Salmonidae
Exons: 3
Source: RefSeq, a predicted model, not a curated record
UUACAGGAGAGGUGGGACUGACUGGGUGAAAUUACUGGAGAGGUGAGACUGACUGGGUGAAAUUACAGGAGAGGUGGGACUGACUGGGUGAAAUUACAGGAGAGGUGGGACUGACUGGGUGAAAGUACAGGAGAGUUUCACCAGGUCAUAGGAGUCCAAUUCGAUAUGAAGUUUCUGUUGAACAUUUGGCUUAGUGUGUUUUUACUCCAUUUGAACUUGAGCAACUCCUGAUUAAUGACAGUGUUGAAACAAUGAUUUGAUUUUUCAGAAGCAUUUAUUUGGUUCUCCAUCCUCUUGCAAUGGACUACCAUUUCCCCAAACAUCUUUUUGCUUUAUAACACUUUAGUGUGGCUUUACAGAUGUUCCUGCUGGAUGUUCUACAGGUCAGUAAUGUUACUCAUUGCCUGCAUGUCAGUCAGUCAACCCCACUGUCUCGUGUCUGUCUGUAAUCUCUCUGGCCUGGAGUCCUUUCUGGCCUGGAGUCCUUUCUGUCCCUGGCUCUUUUGCAGAUUGAGGCCUUCCAUGUUUUUCUGAGGAAGAGGAACUGACCCAUCCCUACCUUCAGGCUAGUGAGCCUCAGCGGUUUGACACCCAUUGACAAACUCCUGCCAUGGGUGGUUGUCUCCAUGCCUUUUGGUUUCUUCUCCUAUGUCCCGCUGUAGUUCAUGUCGCAAGUCUUGAGUGUUCCCUGGUACCUCACAUCAAGCUGCCUGUUUGAGACCCUCAUGACAUCCCAGCCUGUGAUCUACUCUUCCUUCACACACAGUAUGACCCGCCAACCCUAUCUCCCAGUCUUUAUCCUCUACAUCCUCAACCACUGUUUGCCUUGCUCCAUGUCUGUAUCCUCAUGACUACUGUAGGUAUCCCAAACAAAUCACUGAGCUGUCGCCUGAUCUCUGCAGGGUUAUUGCCGCUGCUUCUUGAGAAUUACCUGACUGUAUGAAACAAGAAGUACCAUUUACUUUCCUUAGGGCAUCGGUAUGGUUACUGCCUUCCAUACUCUUCCUGUGUCCGUGUAACCAUGGUUACAAGUUGCAAUUCUUGAAUGACUCUAGUUACAGUAUCACAAACCCCUGUUUUUCACCAUGGUUUCUGUCUCUUUCCUGGUAGUGUAUUCAUGUGCUUUCGCUGAGCAUGAGACACUCUGCCACAGCCUACAGUAAGAGCUUGAUAUCCACUGUCUCGUUUUUCAUAUUGUAUUGACGAAUUGCAAGCAGUAACAAUUGAUAAAAUCAUACAUUUUCAGUCUCACCUGUCCCUUGGUCUGUAUGUUUCUCCUUCUUUCUCUGAUAGGAAUGAGUGUGGAGCUGGUGGCCUCUGUGAUUCAGGGUCAGGUUGUGGCUGUAUUCUACACAGAGAAGGCUGGGGCAUGUCAGCAGUUGGACCAGAGCCAGGGGCUGCCUCACAACACACCUUCACCACAAACCGUUACUACAGACCAUGGUACUACUUCCCCUCUGAGACACACUGCAAGUAAAUGUUUCCCAGUCUCAAACCCUAGCCUAACCCAGCACUGAAGUACAUACCGCUCUCCUACUAUGUUGGUUUAGCAGCGUUUCUUUGUCUGUGGAAGUGAACUUACCUAUAAUGCCAGGGAUAUCAUAUUACACUAAUUAACUGUCCUUAGCACAACAAAGGCCAUUCGUGUGUGUGCAUGUGGGAGCAUGCAUUUCAAGGACGUGAGUUUCUUGUUUGUUUACCCAUAGGCCUGUGCAUUUUAUGCAUACAUGUGAAGGACUUGUGUUUGUGUAGCCUUGUUUAUCUGUGAGGUUUUGUGUAUUUUUCCCCUGUUGGAAGUUUUUCCUGACCUCAGUGCUAGUCAAUGGUGGGCUGUUCUUCCUCUGCUGCCUUGUCCUCUUCCUGGGGGUGAAAGAGCUGCGGAGUGAGUCAACUGUCAGAACAAUGGAGUUAGGGUUAGUGUGGUCAGUUUAGAACUGCUAGAGCAAAGCACAUGGGAGGUCAAGGUUCAGUAGAACAUGUUAAAGAGUCUAGAGCUGGGAGGUGACUAAAUAAUGGAUAGGCUUGGAACUAAAGUAACUUAUGACAUGUCAUGGUGAGUAAGUAUAAGUUUUCUACAAUACCAAACACCUCUCUCUGAUUUUUGCCUCCAGCUCCCCUCUAGUGUGGAUAGUGUGUGUCCUAUCUCUCCACUCUAAAGAUGCUAGUGUGCCAUGUUCCUUGCCAACGACUGGGCCUUGGUUUCUCUUUGCUGCACUUGCCUUCUAGAUAAAUCCUUGCCUGGACUGCAUCCAAAUAGAUCAACAAAAAAUGACAAUCUUGAGUCAACUAAUGCACAUUUGUCCCUUAGAUAUCUUUGGGGAACUUUGCACUGUUCUGUACCCAUGCAGCUGGGCUUGGGUCCCAGUUCCAGCACCUUCUGUCUCUGCUGGUAAGACAUUGCUUGUUGCUACACACAGUUCUGUCAACGUCACACAUAGUUGUAUCACACACCCCACACACUCUUGGCCACAAAAGGACGGUCUGAUUGGCUCAACACACAGAUGACAGAACACAAUUCUUAUCCAAUCUGGCAUAUCAUACUCUUUAUGAUUUUCUAUAUUUGUGUAGCUGGUAUUUGUCUCUGGAAGCUAACUACUUAUUCCUUAUUAAAGGGCAAAAACUAUAGCCACGAGACAUUAUCUUGUUAGUGUUUAAUAUCUGGGAUGGUUGUUUGUCCUAACAGAUUGCAGCAACUACAGCUGUUUCACUGUUACAGCCAUCUCUGGUACGGGCUUGGAAAUAGAUUACAAUCUCCAUUGGUUUGUAAGCACAACAUUGUUUCUCCCUUUAUGACAAGUUUAUGCUUACAGUAAUUUUUUUUUCUUCGUAUUUACUGCCAGUCUUCGUGGCCGUGUGUGAUGCUAGGAUUCAGCUUGGCAACCGUGUUCCUGCUGCCUUGGCGAGUCUGCAGUUAGAAGGCCACGACUCUGGCUUAGCGUUGUCUCUGCUCUCUACUGUACUCUGCUCCAGUUCUGUCUCUGCCUCUGUCACUCUGAAUGACACUCAACACACACAAAAUGCUGACUUGAUGAUUCAUUCAUAAACCCCCAUGACAGCCUGUCAAGUGUUGAAUAUUCUAAUAUGCUGAUUUGACACUUGGCCAGUUUACACUUCAAUCGAUUCACCAGACAGUGCUUGUUGCAUAAUCUGCGUUUGGUCUGAUUUGCGAACCAGUCUCUUAUUAUUCAUGUAGGUCCAUGCUCCCGGACGUGGUAGAUGACUUCGCUGUGAAAAAAACCUGCUGCAAGGACCUGCUACGCCUUCUGCAGUAAGCUAGGGGAGGCCUGUCUGUUGGAAUCUCAACCAUGACUAACAUUGAGUCAUACAUCCACCUACUCCUCCUCUCCUCCUUAUUAUGUAAAAUCUGAUUUCAUGUUUCUAUCACCAUAUCUCAUUUUAUGUUGUGUUCAUGCAUGCGUGUAUAAUUUGUUUAUAUGCUUGUUUGUAAUGCAGCUUUGUGGGGUACACUAUAAAAAGGGUCCCAAAAAGGUACUUAAUAAUAAUAAUAAUAUAUGCCAUUUAGCAGACGCUUUUAUCCAAAGUGACUUACAGUCAUGUGUGCAUACAUUCUACGUAUUCAACUGUCCCCAUAAAAAAACAUUUUGGUUUGAGGUACGACCCUUUUUGGUUUCCAGUAGAACCCUUUUGGGGAAAGGGUUCUUCCUGGAACCCAAAGGGGUUCUACCUGGAACCAGAAAGGGUUCUUCAACGGGUUCUCUUAUGGGGGAUAGCCGAAGAACCAUUUUAGGUUAAAGAGUGUACUGUGCAGUUGCCUGUAGACAAAGUGAGGACAUGAUGACUGCUCUGAUUGUACUGUUUGCCCCUGUGCCCAUCACCCUGCUGCUGGUAGGGCUGGUCUUCUUCCACUUGUACCCCGUCAACGAGGAACGACGCCUCCAGCUCCAAAGAGAGCAAGGCAGAGAGGUUGAAGCCAUACAUUCAACUGAUAGAGGAAAUAGGCUCAACACUCAGUCGUCAGUCAAGACGCCAACCACCUUUUUAUUUAUUUUAAUUUUAUUUAGCCUUUACUUAUCUAGGCAAGUCAGUUAAGAACAAAUUCUUAUUUACAAUGCCGGCAAAACCUGAACGACGCUGGGCCAAUUGUGGGACGCCC